GAUGAACGCUGGCGGCGUGCCUAAUACAUGCAAGUCGAGCGAACUGAUUAGAAGCUUGCUUCUAUGACGUUAGCGGCGGACGGGUGAGUAACACGUGGGCAACCUGCCUGUAAGACUGGGAUAACUUCGGGAAACCGAAGCUAAUACCGGAUAGGAUCUUCUCCUUCAUGGGAGAUGAUUGAAAGAUGGUUUCGGCUAUCACUUACAGAUGGGCCCGCGGUGCAUUAGCUAGUUGGUGAGGUAACGGCUCACCAAGGCAACGAUGCAUAGCCGACCUGAGAGGGUGAUCGGCCACACUGGGACUGAGACACGGCCCAGACUCCUACGGGAGGCAGCAGUAGGGAAUCUUCCGCAAUGGACGAAAGUCUGACGGAGCAACGCCGCGUGAGUGAUGAAGGCUUUCGGGUCGUAAAACUCUGUUGUUAGGGAAGAACAAGUACAAGAGUCACUGCUUGUACCUUGACGGUACCUAACCAGAAAGCCACGGCUAACUACGUGCCAGCCGCCGCCGUAA
Molecule: ribosomal RNA, 514 nt
Filed under: uncultured bacterium
Lineage: Bacteria
Description: partial 16S ribosomal RNA
Rfam family: Bacterial small subunit ribosomal RNA
Source: RNAcentral